CUUGGUCAUUUAGAGGAAGUAAAAGUCGUAACAGGGUUUCCGUAGGUGAACCUGCGGAAGGAUCAUUAGUGAAUUGAAUAUGUUAGCGGACCUCUUCGGAGUCCCUAGCAUCAAAUCAUAUCCAUAACACCUGUGAACUGUAAGGCUGUCUUGAAAACGAAAGUGAUUAGAGCGCCUGCCCAUUUUAUACAAACAUUAAAGUAACAAACGUAGUCUUAUUAUAAUCUAAUAAAACUUUCAACAACGGAUCUCUUGGCUCUCGCAUCGAUGAAGAACGCAGCGAAAUGCGAUAAGUAAUGUGAAUUGCAGAAUUCAGUGAAUCAUCGAAUCUUUGAACGCACCUUGCGCUCUUUGGUAUUCCGAAGAGCAUGCCUGUUUGAGUGUCAUGAAAAUAUCAACCUUGACUUGGGUUUAGUGCUCUUGUCUUGGCUUGGAUUUGGCUGUUUGCCGCUCGAAAGAGUCGGCUCAGCUUAAAAGUAUUAGCUGGAUCUGUCUUUGAGACUUGGUUUGACUUGGCGUAAUAAGUUAUUUCGCUGAGGACAAUCUUCGGAUUAGCCGAGUUUCUGGGACGUUUGUCCGCUUUCUAAUACAAGUUCUAGCUUGCUAGACAUGACGUUUUUAUUAUCUGGCCUCAAAUCAGGUAGGACUACCCGCUGAACUUAAGCAUAUCAAUAAGCGGAGGA
RNAcentral lists this ribosomal RNA (683 nucleotides) under uncultured fungus. Its description in RNAcentral is "eukaryotic LSU rRNA". The stretch from base 233 to 386 matches the Rfam family "5.8S ribosomal RNA". Lineage: Eukaryota; Fungi. The record is from RNAcentral.